RNAcentral lists this transfer RNA (72 nucleotides) under bacterium. RNAcentral describes it as "tRNA-Gln". It matches the Rfam family "tRNA". From Rfam's summary of the family: Transfer RNA (tRNA) molecules are approximately 80 nucleotides in length. Their secondary structure includes four short double-helical elements and three loops (D, anti-codon, and T loops). Further hydrogen bonds mediate the characteristic L-shaped molecular structure. tRNAs have two regions of fundamental functional importance: the anti-codon, which is responsible for specific mRNA codon recognition, and the 3' end, to which the tRNAs corresponding amino acid is attached (by aminoacyl-tRNA synthetases). tRNAs cope with the degeneracy of the genetic code in two manners: having more than one tRNA (with a specific anti-codon) for a particular amino acid; and 'wobble' base-pairing, i.e. permitting non-standard base-pairing at the 3rd anti-codon position. The record is from RNAcentral.
UGCCGGGUCGUCUAAUGGUAGGACACAACACUUUGGAUGUUGUUAUUCUUGGUUCGAAUCCAAGCCCGGCAG